CCCACCUCUGACAUCCUCUCUAUACAUUAGUUACCCAAUGUUACAGUAAAGACUGUCUCCAAAUCAGUGUUGCAAACAAUUUAAAAAGCAUUCAUGUUUCCUUGUGUCUUCUUGAAGAAUUGCCUCAAGGGCUCUUUUGCAGUUGCCAAAUAAAGAAAAACUUCUACCUGCUGGUUUACUAUCACUAUGUACGUAUCAUGAACUGAUUUCCGAAUGGGAAGCUCCUUCAAUAGCCUUUGUUUUCUGUGGGUAUGUCAUUAUAUCAUUACUGUUACAAUAAUACUGUUACAAGAACCAAACAUAUUCCUUUGUGAAUUUACACCUCCCAUUUAGGAGGAGCCCUUCAGCUGGAUGCAUUCAAAAACUGCUCAUGUUUCUCAACCAGUUUAUAGAGUGUUCAUCAAUAUAUGGCAUAUGGAAUAUGAAGGCUUAUAACGCCUCUAAGAUUUUGGAUGUAGAUGUUGGAAAAUCUCUAGAGCCCAAAUGGUAGUCUGUUGCAGCCAAAGCUUUUAAACGGAGUUCUAAGUGUGGGAACUGAUGCCAUUUUGGACCUCUCAAGUUGUAUCAUAACUUCCUUCAUUAAAAGGUAUGGAAUCUUCCGAGGAAGGGUGUGAGGAUCUUUGAGAGAGAUCAAUGGAGAUUUACCAGAAUGCAGCUGAUGUGUGACCAUACAAGCAAGUCUGAGCAUGGUGUCGAGGAAGCUGUUAUCAUUCUAACAUUCCAGAACACUCAGAUGCGUGCAUCUUUCAGCCCCCUCAGCACAUACAGGGCUGGUUGUUUGGUGACAAAAGUUACCCCAUCGAGACCUGGCGGAAUACACCUUUCUACAGAUUCACACUGAAUAGAGGUUCAACGCUGCACAUCCUUCCACAAGGCCCACUGUCAGGAGAUCAUAGGCCUCUUGAAAUUGCACUCACAUGCUUGGACAAGUCAUUGUAGUAUAUGAUAGACAAACUGUCCCCCAUUGUCAUGGUUCGCAACAUGGUUGACUCAACAAAAGGCAGAUUCAGAGGCAGAGUUGAGGGAUCAAGAGGAUAUGCUGGUGAGCAAGGUGAAAAUGAGGAAGAAGACAGGAAGAAGACAAGACCAAAGUCCCAUGAUUCAGAUGCCCAUGACAAACCUCACAGCCACCCAUUUCCAAGAUGACUGAGCUCCAUGACAUGUUUCUAUUAAUGAUUUCUUUUUCAUACGCAUGUUAAUUGGGAGACCACUGCUAUGCAACAAUAUCCCAUAGACCGUACAAGAUUU
Non-coding RNA from Chiloscyllium plagiosum (whitespotted bambooshark), 1248 nucleotides. The record is from RefSeq and is a predicted model, not a curated record. NCBI's taxonomy places the organism in Eukaryota, Metazoa, Chordata, Chondrichthyes, Orectolobiformes, Hemiscylliidae.